This 443-nucleotide ribosomal RNA is filed under the name uncultured bacterium. RNAcentral describes it as "bacterial SSU rRNA". It matches the Rfam family "Bacterial small subunit ribosomal RNA", at positions 354 to 796 of the family's 1533-position model. The record is from RNAcentral.
GUGGGGAAUCUUGCGCAAUGGGCGGAAGCCUGACGCAGCAACGCCACGUGGGGGAUGACGGCCUUCGGGUUGUAAACCUCUUUCGGCUUUGACGAAGGCAUCUCUGUUGGGGGUGUUGACGGUAGGGGCAGAAGAAGCACCGGCUAACUACGUGCCAGCAGCCGCGGUAAUACGUAGGGUGCGAGCGUUGUCCGGAGUUACUGGGCGUAAAGAGCUCGUAGGCGGUGUGUCGCGUCGGCCGUGAAAUCCUGCUGCUUAACGGUGGGCUUGCGGUCGAUACGGGCAGACUAGAGUUCGGUAGGGGAGACUGGAAUUCCUGGUGUAGCGGUGAAAUGCGCAGAUAUCAGGAGGAACACCGGUGGCGAAGGCGGGUCUCUGGGCCGAUACUGACGCUGAGGAGCGAAAGCGUGGGGAGCGAACAGGAUUAGAAACCCCAGUAGUCC